UGGGGAAUAUUGCACAAUGGGGGAAACCCUGAUGCAGCAACGCCGCGUGGAGGAUGACACAUUUCGGUGCGUAAACUCCUUUUAUAUGUCAAGAUAAUGACGGUAGCAUAUGAAUAAGCACCGGCUAACUUCGUGCCAGCAGCCGCGGUAAUACGAGGGGUGCAAGCGUUACUCGGAAUCACUGGGCGUAAAGAGAAUGUAGGCGGGUAAUUAAGUUGGAAGUGAAAUCCUAUGGCUCAACCAUAGAACUGCUUCCAAAACUGAUUACCUAGAGUAUGGGAGAGGUAGAUGGAAUUUCUGGUGUAGGGGUAAAAUCCGUAGAGAUCAGAAGGAAUACCGAUUGCGAAGGCGAUCUACUGGAACAUUACUGACGCUCAGAUUCGAAAGCGUGGGGAGCAAACA
Molecule: ribosomal RNA, 402 nt
Filed under: uncultured Campylobacterota bacterium
Lineage: Bacteria; Pseudomonadati; Campylobacterota
Description: bacterial SSU rRNA
Rfam family: Bacterial small subunit ribosomal RNA
Source: RNAcentral